UCCCAUGAUGAUGGUUGCAGCGGACACAUGUUUCAAGAGCAGGGUCCAACAGCUGCCGAUGGCGACGCGUGUCGAGGAAGAACAAAGAAUCACCUAGCGGGGAAAAGGACGAAGAUGGGUUUGGGACAUGUGACGAACAGUUUGCUCUUAGAUCUGCCGCUGAAACAAUGCCUCCCAGGACAGAACACUUCUUUCCAAAAAUUAGAGUAUCCAGGCCUGGAAAAACCUCGAUGUGAUAAGCUUGGUGAUAUUUGUGAAUGGUUAUAUUUUUAAAAUUCUGUACACAGCAUUGUACUAUUGUUCUUGGAGGAAAGUAACUGAAAACUAU
This is a non-coding RNA of Lolium perenne, 328 nucleotides long. The record is from RefSeq and is a predicted model, not a curated record. NCBI's taxonomy places the organism in Eukaryota, Viridiplantae, Streptophyta, Magnoliopsida, Poales, Poaceae.